Molecule: long non-coding RNA, 2046 nt
Filed under: Haliotis rubra (blacklip abalone)
Lineage: Eukaryota; Metazoa; Mollusca; Gastropoda; Lepetellida; Haliotidae
Description: uncharacterized LOC124276599
Source: RNAcentral
UGACAAAUGUUAAUCUGGUCGACUAGGAAGAGGCGUCUUAGUGAGUGGACAGACGAUUUGUAAUUGGCUCUACAGAACCACCUGCAUGCCCGAUGUCCACAUGUGAUCCCACGAUCGGCGGGGCGUCAUAUUACUGCAAGACAUAUUUAUUGUCAAGUCCAGCACUGGACCAGUCGUCGUUGUUUUCGGAAGAAUCAAAUUUAAAUUAUAAUUAAGACUUCCUUGACAGAAUGGGACGUGGAGGGAAUGGGUGUUUUCAUGCUGUCAAGUGAUUAACAUAUGUAAUUUGGCUACAGUACAGUUUGCUGUGCAAUAUUGUGUAUGAAGAGUUAAUGGAAUUGAGGUUGACGUACAGAUAACUUGGUAAUAUGUUUUCUUCUUCAAAUUAUUUUGUCAUUGAAUGGUUUGAAACGUGACUUUGUGAUAGAAAUAGUGGCGUGACUCCAGAAUGUUCAUCCUUCCAGAAGUAGUCAAAUAUAUGUGUCCAUUCAUAAUGGUUUUCAAUCAUGGCAGUAAAAAUCCGCGUUACUUCCUAUCACUGUAUACCUCACAUACGUGAAGAAAUAGUGUGAUGUGUUUUCGUUGUGAUGUCAACAGGAACAGACUGGCCGGCCCGUUAUAUGUCUGUUAUACAUGUCAAGGUCAAGGUCACUAUAACCGAGCUUGAAGCAACAGUGUAUGAUUUCUUAUCAACGUUUUUAAAUUCAGAGAGUUAUAGGAAUCUUUGUAUCUGUUAGGUAAAACAUUCAAUAAAUAUACUGUUUAUUCAUACUUUUCACUCUCAAAGAAAAGAGACAUGAUAAUCCAAAAUGUAGAAUGACACACUGACCAAAACCCACGAUCCCCUACACACGUCCGCGGUCAAUUUCUGUAAUAUGUGGGGCAAAAUGUUUCGGGGAAUAGUCUUACUCCUCCAUUAGAUGAAGAAUAUACUUACUCCUUCAUCAAGUGGUGAAUAUACUCACUGCUAUAUCAGGUGGUGAAUAUACUUACUUCUUCAUCAGGCAAAGAAUGUACUUCCUCAUUCGUCAUGUGAAGGAUAUCAUUAUACCUUCAUCGGGUAAAGAAUAUAAUUACUCCAUCGGGUAAAGAACAUACAUAGUCCUUCAUCAGGUGAAAAAUAUCCAUAUUCCUUCAUCAGGUAAAGAAUAUACUGACUCUUCCAUAAGGUGUAGAAUUACACACUCCUUCAUCCGGUUAAGAUUAUACUUACUCCUUCAUCAGGUGUAGAGUAUGUAUACUCCUUCAUCGGGUAAAGAAUAUGCUUACUCCAUCAAGUGUAGAAUGUAAGAACACCUUCAGCCAUUGAAGAGUAUCCUUACUCCUUCAGAUGAAAAGUUUACUUAUUAAUUCAUUAGGUGAAGAGUACACAAACUGCUUGAGCAGGUGAAGAAUAUAUAUAAUUACACCUUUAUUGGCUGAUGAAUAUAAUUUCUCCUUCAUGAGGUGAAGAAUAGACUUACACAUUCACCACCGAAGGAAUAUACUUCUACCUUUAUCAGUUGAAAAAUAUGUGUAAUUACAUUUUUGGUUGAGAAUAUACUUACUCCUUCAUCAGGUGGAAAAUAUAUUUACUCCUUAAUCAAGUACUCCUUUAUCAGGUGUAUAAUAUACUUACUCUUUCACCACACGAAAAAUAUACUUACUCCUUCAUCGUGUGGAGAAUAUACUUACUCCUUCUUCGGGUUGAGAAUAUACUUACACAUUCAACGGAUGAUGAAUAUACUUGAGCCCCUAGACGCUGGGAUUAUCUAGCCUUUCAAGGCUCAUUACAGGAGACAUCAGCUCAAUCACCUUGUUGAUUACAUAGGGCCGCUAACUAUCCUAUCUAGCUAUAACUCUACCCUGGAUAUAAUACCAUAUUUCACCUGGACAAACGGUCAACCAGGGUAUACUGUAAUUACACCUUCAUCGGUUGAUGAGGAUACUUUCUUCAUCACGUGAAGAAUAUACUCACUCCUUCAUCAUGUGAAGAAUAUGUAUAAUUACAGCUUCAUUGGGUGAUGAAUAUAGAUACUCCUUCUUUCUUUCAAGAAUAUUUUACUU